GAGUGUUACAGCUCUUUUAGAAUUUGUCUAGCAGGUUUUCCAGUUUUCACCAGAAACUUCCCCA
Microcebus murinus (gray mouse lemur) is the source of this 64-nucleotide small nuclear RNA. Its record names the gene U7. It matches the Rfam family "U7 small nuclear RNA". Rfam says of the family: Animal histone pre-mRNAs are spliced by a different mechanism than nuclear pre-mRNAs and self-splicing introns. This processing involves the U7 snRNP, which contains only one RNA species: U7. The 5' end of U7 RNA is thought to base-pair to a conserved spacer element downstream of the cleavage site in histone pre-mRNA. The record is from Ensembl. Lineage: Eukaryota; Metazoa; Chordata; Mammalia; Primates; Cheirogaleidae.